CCGAGGAGUAUGGUCAAACCGAUGUGCAUAAUAUAAGUAGUAAUACAUGUACACAGUAAGACGAUUCCAUUCCGCUGAUACAAAUGUACAAAGUAUUCAACAACCAAAACGAAAAAAUAAACCCUAAUUUCAGGUUCUACUAGUAAGCCGAUGUCUGGAGAUAGCACUGAUGGCACCGAUAGCACUGAUAGCAUCAACAAUACCAAAGGUUCCACUGUUAAUUGGGGGACUGGAGAUAGCACUGAUAGCUUCAACAAUACCAAAGGGUCUACCAGCAAGCCGACGUCUGGUGGUCCAAACAACAGCACCAAAAAUAACAACAACGCCGGCAGCAUUAACAAUCACGCAGUGUCAAGGUUCCGGAUGUUUGUCUGUGCAUUGGUAGUUGUGUUAUUGUCCCAGAUUUAACAUACAGAAUUAUAGGUGUAUCCACUGAAC
Patella vulgata (common limpet) is the source of this 438-nucleotide long non-coding RNA. RefSeq lists it as uncharacterized. Lineage: Eukaryota; Metazoa; Mollusca; Gastropoda; Patellidae. The record is from RefSeq and is a predicted model, not a curated record. The transcript has 4 exons.